AGGACUAACGCUGGCGGCGUGCCUAACACAUGCAAGUCGAACGAGAGUAGCAAUACUCUAGUGGCAGACGGGUGAGUAACACGUGGUCAACCUACCUUUAAGUGGGGGAUAACUAGCCGAAAGGUUAGCUAAAUACCGCAUACGAUCUUCGCGUGGCAUCACAUGAAGAUGAAAGGAGCAAUCCGCUGAAAGACGGGACCGCGUCCCAUUAGCCAGUUGGUGGGGUAACGGCCUACCAAAGCAACGAUGGGUAGCUGGCUUGAGAGAGCGACCAGCCACACUGGGACUGAGACACGGCCCAGACUCCUACGGGAGGCAGCAGUGAGGAAUUUUCCGCAAUGGGCGAAAGCCUGACGGAGCGACGCCGCGUGUGGGAUGAAAUAUCUUGGUAUGUAAACUCCUUUCGAUGGGGAAGAUAAUGACGGUACCCAUAGAAGAAGCCCGGCUAACUUCGUGCCAGCAGCGC
This 466-nucleotide ribosomal RNA is filed under the name uncultured bacterium. RNAcentral's name for it is "SSU rRNA". It matches the Rfam family "Bacterial small subunit ribosomal RNA", at positions 26 to 518 of the family's 1533-position model. The record is from RNAcentral.